CAGCAGCCGCGGUAAUACGUAGGGUGCGAGCGUUAAUCGGAUUUACUGGGCGUAAAGCGUGCGCAGGCGGCCCGUUAAGACAGGUGUGAAAUCCCUGGGCUCAACCUAGGAAUUGCGCUUGUGACUGGCGGGCUCGAGUACGGUAGAGGGGGGUGGAAUUCCUGGUGUAGCAGUGAAAUGCGUAGAGAUCAGGAGGAACACCGAUGGCGAAGGCAGCCCCCUGGGCCUGUACUGACGCUCAUGCACGAAAGCGUGGGGAGCAAACAGGAUUAGAUGCCCGGGUAGUCCACGCCCUAAACGAUGGGUACUAGCCGUUUGGUGCGCGAUAGCGCUGAGUGGCGAAGCUAACGCGUGAAGUACCCCGCCUGGGGAGUACGGCCGCAAGGUUGAAACUUAAAGGAAUUGGCGGG
Molecule: ribosomal RNA, 410 nt
Filed under: uncultured microorganism
Description: bacterial SSU rRNA
Rfam family: Bacterial small subunit ribosomal RNA
Source: RNAcentral